AAUUUUAUUUAUAAAUUUGAAUUUAUCUUAAUAAAAUGGAAAUAAUUGUAACUAUUUCAUAAUUGUUAGCUCUCGUCAAACUAGUUCAAUUGACGAAUUUUUAACCUAAACAACUCAGUUUUAAAAAAAAAAAAAUCCAAAAUAACCCACAAUUUAAAUUAAUUCUCAAACUAUCUCACUUUAAAAAAAACGUCAACACAUAGGUGC
Molecule: long non-coding RNA, 207 nt
Filed under: Lathyrus oleraceus (garden pea)
Lineage: Eukaryota; Viridiplantae; Streptophyta; Magnoliopsida; Fabales; Fabaceae
Description: Pisum sativum (pea) long non-coding RNA (PSAT_LNC000113)
Source: RNAcentral